This 251-nucleotide ribosomal RNA is filed under the name uncultured Bordetella sp. RNAcentral describes it as "partial 16S ribosomal RNA". It matches the Rfam family "Bacterial small subunit ribosomal RNA", at positions 524 to 774 of the family's 1533-position model. Lineage: Bacteria; Pseudomonadati; Pseudomonadota; Betaproteobacteria; Burkholderiales; Alcaligenaceae. The record is from RNAcentral.
UCCUUCUUUUUCAAUCGUUAAUCGGAAUUACUGGGCGUAAAGCGUGCGCAGGCGGUUCGGAAAGAAAGAUGUGAAAUCCCAGGGCUUAACCUUGGAACUGCAUUUUUAACUACCGGGCUAGAGUGUGUCAGAGGGAGGUGGAAUUCCGCGUGUAGCAGUGAAAUGCGUAGAUAUGCGGAGGAACACCGAUGGCGAAGGCAGCCUCCUGGGAUAACACUGACGCUCAUGCACGAAAGCGUGGGGAGCAAACA